UGUGGCCUGUGGGGUUGGUAAAUCCGCCCCACAUAAAGGGUGAGGCGUGAUGCGGACACCAUGUUGUGGUGGUAGUUAGUGUGCCUGUGCUGUCUAGAAAAGCCUCUAGCGAGUGCGUGCAUGGCCCGUACCGGAAACCGACACAGGUGGUCAGGUAGAGAAUACUAAGGCGAUCGAGAGAAUCAUGGUUAAGGAACUCGGCAAAAUGCCCCCGUAACUUCGGGAGAAGGGGGACCACUACUGGUUGCUGACAGCAUUUUUAGCUGGUGGUGGUCGCAGAGGAGAGAGGGAAGCGAC
RNAcentral lists this ribosomal RNA (297 nucleotides) under Chaetoceros curvisetus. RNAcentral's name for it is "partial Bacterial large subunit ribosomal RNA". It matches the Rfam family "Bacterial large subunit ribosomal RNA", at positions 1519 to 1800 of the family's 2925-position model. Lineage: Eukaryota; Bacillariophyta; Thalassiosirophyceae; Chaetocerotales; Chaetocerotaceae. The record is from RNAcentral.